This 307-nucleotide ribosomal RNA is filed under the name Clostridioides difficile. Its description in RNAcentral is "partial 16S ribosomal RNA". It matches the Rfam family "Bacterial small subunit ribosomal RNA", at positions 1236 to 1533 of the family's 1533-position model. Lineage: Bacteria; Bacillati; Bacillota; Clostridia; Peptostreptococcales; Peptostreptococcaceae. The record is from RNAcentral.
AGUACAGAGGGUUGCCAAGCCGUAAGGUGGAGAGAAUCCCUGAAGGCUACUCUCAGUUCGGAUUGUAGGCUGAAACUCGCCUACAUGAAGCUGGAGUUACUAGUAAUCGCAGAUCAGAAGGCUGCGGGGAAUGCGUUCCCGGGUCUUGUACACACCGCCCGUCACACCACGGGAGUUGGAGACGCCCGAAGCCGACUAUCUAACCUUUUGGAAGAAGUCGUCGAAGGUGGAAUCAAUAACUGGGGUGAAGUCGUAACAAGGUAGCCGUAUCGGAAGGUGCGGCUGGAUCACCUCCUUUCUAAUGAGA